GGACUAAAAGGAAAACAAAGAAAUUGAUGUUGCCCUAAGGCUUCAAUUAUAAAAGAAAACAAUCUGAUCAUUUCAAGGGACGCUAGACUUUUGGAUAUUUUUCGAGCAGAUUUUUUCUUCAGGCUUUAGAAAAUUAGAAUAGAAUACACCUAAAACCUUCAUACACUAUUCAGAAAAUUCUCUUCAAAUCGUUCCUUCUGAGUGAUUUUUCUUUAACAAUCGAUGCAAGUUCUGGGUUGUUUUAGAGAUAUAUUGAUGAUAUUUGCCUCUCAAAUUUCCUGAGUUCCUGGGUUUUGCUGGUAUCCAUCUUCACUCAAAAGCUGAGAAAUAAUAGCAAUAUACACUCGAGAUUGUGGCUGAUAAUAAAGACAAUAAUACUUUUGUUUCAAUUCCAUAUCACAACUGUUAUUCAUUUUUUUGUAGUGUUUUUGGUGUUGUAAUGAAUAUGAAAAUGUAUUAAUUAUGGACUGUCUCAGGACUAUGCCUUUAAUUCGUUUAAGUUCCAGUAUAUUUAAAGAUAGUCUGGUCAUAUUUACUUAGUGUUGUAAUUUGAGUUGUGGUAGAGGUUUAACAACUGAACACGUAAAUACUCUGGAUGAGGAGUACUUCAAAUUGUUCAUUCAAAUAAAUGUGAAAUCCUUCUCAACA
Nicotiana tabacum (common tobacco) is the source of this 648-nucleotide non-coding RNA. NCBI's taxonomy places the organism in Eukaryota, Viridiplantae, Streptophyta, Magnoliopsida, Solanales, Solanaceae. The record is from RefSeq and is a predicted model, not a curated record.